This 501-nucleotide ribosomal RNA is filed under the name uncultured bacterium. RNAcentral's name for it is "partial 16S ribosomal RNA". It matches the Rfam family "Bacterial small subunit ribosomal RNA", at positions 30 to 523 of the family's 1533-position model. The record is from RNAcentral.
AUUGAACGCUGGCGGCAGGCUUAACACAUGCAAGUCGAGCGGAGAUGAGGUGCUUGCACCUUAUCUUAGCGGCGGACGGGUGAGUAACGCUUAGGAAUCUGCCUAUUAGUGGGGGACAACAUUCCGAAAGGAAUGCUAAUACCGCAUACGUCCUACGGGAGAAAGCAGGGGAUCUUCGGACCUUGCGCUAAUAGAUGAGCCUAAGUCGGAUUAGCUAGUUGGUGGGGUAAAGGCCUACCAAGGCGACGAUCUGUAGCGGGUCUGAGAGGAUGAUCCGCCACACUGGGGCUGGGACCCGGCCCGGACUCCUACGGGAGGCAGCAGUGGGGAAUAUUGGACAAUGGGGGGAACCCUGAUCCAGCCAUGCCGCGUGUGUGAAGAAGGCCUUAUGGUUGUAAAGCACUUUAAGCGAGGAGGAGGCUACUGAGACUAAUACUCUUGGAUAGUGGACGUUACUCGCAGAAUAAGCACCGGCUAACUCUGUGCCAGCAGCCGCCGUAA